This 494-nucleotide ribosomal RNA is filed under the name uncultured bacterium. RNAcentral describes it as "partial 16S ribosomal RNA". It matches the Rfam family "Bacterial small subunit ribosomal RNA", at positions 28 to 507 of the family's 1533-position model. The record is from RNAcentral.
GACGAACGCUGGCGGCGUGCUUAACACAUGCAAGUCGAACGGUGAAGCGCCUUCCUUUUUGGUGGGUGUGGAUGAGUGGCGAACGGGUGAGUAACACGUGAGUAACCUGCCCCCUUCUUCUGGAUAACCGCAUGAAAGUGUGGCUAAUACGGAAUAUUCUGGGUCUGUCGCAUGAUGGGUCUGGGAAAGAUAUUGUUUCGGUGGGGGAUGGGCUCGCGGCCUAUCAGCUUGUUGGUGGGGUGAUGGCCUACCAAGGCGGUGACGGGUAGCCGGCCUGAGAGGGUGGACGGUCACACUGGGACUGAGACACGGCCCAGACUCCUACGGGAGGCAGCAGUGGGGAAUAUUGCACAAUGGGCGCAAGCCUGAUGCAGCGACGCCGCGUGAGGGAUGGAGGCCUUCGGGUUGUGAACCUCUUUCGCCAGUGAAGCAGGCCUGCCUCGUUUGUGGGUGGGUUGACGGUAGCUGGAUAAGAAGCGCCGGCUAACUACGUG